CCCUUAGAUGUUCUGGGCCGCACGCGCGCUACACUGAUGCAUUCAACGAGUUUCUUCCUGGUCCGAGAGGAAUGGGUAACCUUUUGAAAGUGCAUCGUGAUAGGGAUAGACUAUUGCAAUUAUUGGUCUUCAACGAGGAAUUCCUAGUAGACGUAGUUCAUCAGACUGCAUCGAUUACGUCCCUGCCCUUUGUACACACCGCCCGUCGCUCCUACCGAUUGAAUGCUCAGGUGAGCCUUUCGGACUUUCAUCAUGCUGGUUUCCAGUUUUGAUGAAGGAAAGUCUUGCGAACCUUAUCAUUUAGAGGAAGGAGAAGUCGUAACA
This 324-nucleotide ribosomal RNA is filed under the name uncultured eukaryote. RNAcentral describes it as "partial 18S ribosomal RNA". It matches the Rfam family "Eukaryotic small subunit ribosomal RNA", at positions 1470 to 1796 of the family's 1831-position model. The record is from RNAcentral.